This 337-nucleotide unclassified non-coding RNA is filed under the name soil metagenome. RNAcentral describes it as "partial contains 5.8S ribosomal RNA, internal transcribed spacer 2, and large subunit ribosomal RNA". The stretch from base 1 to 120 matches the Rfam family "5.8S ribosomal RNA", at positions 35 to 154 of the family's 154-position model. The record is from RNAcentral.
GAUGAAGAACGCAGCAAAAUGCGAUAAGUAAUGUGAAUUGCAGAAUUCAGUGAAUCAUCGAAUCUUUGAACGCACAUUGCGCCCGCCAGUAUUCUGGCGGGCAUGCCUGUUCGAGCGUCAUUUGUACCUUCAAGCUUUGCUUGGUGUUGGGUGUUUGUCUCGCCUCCGCGUGUAGACUCGCCUCAAAACAAUUGGCAGCCGGCGUAUUGAUUUCGGAGCGCAGUACAUCUCGCGCUUUGCACUCACAACGACGACGUCCAAAAGUACAUUUUUACACUCUUGACCUCGGAUCAGGUAGGGAUACCCGCUGAACUUAAGCAUAUCAAUAAGCGGAGGA